AGGGGCUUAGGAUAAUCUCAAACCAAGAGCCUUCAAAGCUCUAAAUAAGGGCCAAAAACCCUUAGCCCCUG
This 71-nucleotide transfer RNA is filed under the name Anniella pulchra. Its description in RNAcentral is "tRNA-Trp". It matches the Rfam family "tRNA". From Rfam's summary of the family: Transfer RNA (tRNA) molecules are approximately 80 nucleotides in length. The record is from RNAcentral. Lineage: Eukaryota; Metazoa; Chordata; Lepidosauria; Squamata; Anniellidae.